CGAAAGGAGAUGGUUUAUUGUGUGCCUCUAUAAUGGGUCUUUGACGCUCUCACCUUGAGCAUGCGUGGUCAUCACCUACCCUCUCGCCUUCCCCUGCUGAUCCAAUCACUUGCAUAUCCCAUUUAUUCCUCGUGUCUGAGGACAGGGCCCUGUGAUAAAGCUAGUGGGCGUGAAGUGCCCAUCUCUUAGGGGCCAAACAUAAAACCUGAUGGGUAUUUUAAAACAAUGCACU
Molecule: non-coding RNA, 232 nt
Organism: Pelobates cultripes (western spadefoot toad)
Lineage: Eukaryota; Metazoa; Chordata; Amphibia; Anura; Pelobatidae
Source: the annotation of a GenBank genome assembly